This 497-nucleotide ribosomal RNA is filed under the name uncultured bacterium. Its description in RNAcentral is "partial 16S ribosomal RNA". It matches the Rfam family "Bacterial small subunit ribosomal RNA", at positions 28 to 507 of the family's 1533-position model. The record is from RNAcentral.
GAUGAACGCUGGCGGCGUGCCUAAUACAUGCAAGUCGAGCGAACAGACGAGGAGCUUGCUCCUCUGACGUUAGCGGCGGACGGGUGAGUAACACGUGGAUAACCUACCUAUAAGACUGGGAUAACUUCGGGAAACCGGAGCUAAUACCGGAUAAUAUAUUGAACCGCAUGGUUCAAUAGUGAAAGACGGUUUUGCUGUCACUUAUAGGUGGAUCCGCGCCGCAUUAGCUAGUUGGUAAGGUAACGGCUUACCAAGGCAACGAUGCGUAGCCGACCUGAGAGGGUGAUCGGCCACAAUGGAACUAAGACACGGUCCAGACUCCUACGGGAGGCAGCAGUAGGGAAUCUUCCGCAAUGAGCGAAAGCUUGACGGAGCAACGCCGCGUGAGUGAUGAAGGUCUUCGGAUCGUAAAACUCUGUUAUUAGGGAAGAACAAAUGUGUAAGUAACUAUGCACGUCUUGACGGUACCUAAUCAGAAAGCCACGGCUAACUACGUG